This 516-nucleotide long non-coding RNA is filed under the name Malus domestica (apple). Its description in RNAcentral is "long non-coding RNA (MDOM_LNC003944)". Lineage: Eukaryota; Viridiplantae; Streptophyta; Magnoliopsida; Rosales; Rosaceae. The record is from RNAcentral.
UUCGGCUUAGGGAUGAGUUGACCGAGUCCUUUCAUUUAAGUAAUUUCUUAUGCAUUAAACAUUUAUACUAAUUAUUUCAAAUUGCUUUUUAUUAAUAAUCCAUGUUUUUUUUUCACAUGCGACUAAGGUGGAAAAGAGUCAGUCGGUGCUUCAGGAGUCCAUCUCCCAGGUUCCCUCGGACACUCUGAUCGAGUUUAUGGAUCCCGUAAAGAUGCAGGGUUACAUAUCCUGACAGAGACAUUGGACCAGACUUUCGGUCGAUGGCUAAGGACAUAUUGUCGAGGGAUGGGAAAUGCUAGGCGGCAGGAGAGUGGAGCCUCGUCAUCCUCGUAGUCAAAGGGGCAGGUUAUGGCUUUGACGCAGGAAGUCACUAGCCUGAGGAGUGAGCUAGCAUCAUACAAGUCUCAAAUGUCAAUGCUUGUACAAACCCUCAAUUCCUCCGGAAUACGUCUCCCCAGUUUUUCUGCACCAUUGUCCUCAGAGCCCUUCCACACUGAGCAUGCACAUCAAUCAAGC